Molecule: ribosomal RNA, 497 nt
Filed under: uncultured bacterium
Lineage: Bacteria
Description: partial 16S ribosomal RNA
Rfam family: Bacterial small subunit ribosomal RNA
Source: RNAcentral
GAUGAACGCUGGCGGCGUGCCUAAUACAUGCAAGUCGAGCGAACAGAUGAGGAGCUUGCUCCUCUGACGUUAGCGGCGGACGGGUGAGUAACACGUGGAUAACCUACCUAUAAGACUGGGAUAACUUCGGGAAACCGUAGCUAAUACCGGAUAAUAUAUUUAACCGCAUGGUUCAAUAGUUAAAGACGGUUUUGCUGUCACUUAUAGAUGGAUCCGCGCCGCAUUAGCUAGUUGGUAAGGUAACGGCUUACCAAGGCAACGAUGCGUAGCCGACCUGAGAGGGUGAUCGGCCACACUGGAACUGAGACACGGUCCAGACUCCUACGGGAGGCAGCAGUAGGGAAUCUUCCGCAAAGGGCGAAAGCCUGACGGAGCAACGCCGCGUGAGUGAUGAAGGUCUUCGGAUCGUAAAACUCUGUUAUUAGGGAAGAACAAAUGUGUAAGUAACUAUGCACGUCUUGACGGUACCUAAUCAGAAAGCCACGGCUAACUACGUG